AUGGCUCAGGACGAACGCUGGCGGCGUGCUUAACACAUGCAAGUCGAACGAUGAAGCCUUUCGGGGUGGAUUAGUGGCGAACGGGUGAGUAACACGUGGGCAAUCUGCCCUUCACUCUGGGACAAGCCCUGGAAACGGGGUCUAAUACCGGAUAACACUCUGUCCCGCAUGGGACGGGGUUAAAAGCUCCGGCGGUGAAGGAUGAGCCCGCGGCCUAUCAGCUUGUUGGUGGGGUGAUGGCCUACCAAGGCGACGACGGGUAGCCGGCCUGAGAGGGCGACCGGCCACACUGGGACUGAGACACGGCCCAGACUCCUACGGGAGGCAGCAGUGGGGAAUAUUGCACAAUGGGCGAAAGCCUGAUGCAGCGACGCCGCGUGAGGGAUGACGGCCUUCGGGUUGUAAACCUCUUUCAGCAG
This 419-nucleotide ribosomal RNA is filed under the name Kitasatospora cinereorecta. RNAcentral describes it as "bacterial SSU rRNA". It matches the Rfam family "Bacterial small subunit ribosomal RNA", at positions 19 to 442 of the family's 1533-position model. The record is from RNAcentral. Lineage: Bacteria; Bacillati; Actinomycetota; Actinomycetes; Kitasatosporales; Streptomycetaceae.